UCACCACUUUGUGGUUCAUGACUGGGGUGAAGUCGUAACAAGGUAGCCCUAGGGGAACCUGGGGCUGGAUCACCUCCUUAACGAUAGAU
RNAcentral lists this ribosomal RNA (89 nucleotides) under Aliivibrio sp. SR45-2. Its description in RNAcentral is "partial 16S ribosomal RNA". The stretch from base 1 to 80 matches the Rfam family "Bacterial small subunit ribosomal RNA", at positions 1454 to 1533 of the family's 1533-position model. The record is from RNAcentral. Lineage: Bacteria; Pseudomonadati; Pseudomonadota; Gammaproteobacteria; Vibrionales; Vibrionaceae.